GAUGAACGCACAAGACGUGCCUAACACAUGCAAAUCGAAUGAAAACAAUUUAAUUAAAUUGUUUUCAUGGUGAACGGGUGAGUAACACAUAAGAAUCAGCUUUUAGAUAAGGCAUAAAAGAGUAAUAUCUUGGUAAUUCCUUAUAUGCGCAGCAGUGCUUAAAAAGGGGACUCCCGUCUAAAAACGAGCUUAUGCCUGAUUAGCUAGUUGGCGAGUUAAAAGCUCACCAAGGCGAAGAUCAGUAGCUGGCCUGAGAGGGCGGCCAGCCACAUUGGGACUGAGACACGGCCCAAACUCCUACGGGAGGCAGCAGUGAGGAAUAUUGGACAAUGGGCGCAAGCCUGAUCCAGCCAUGCCGCGUGCAGGAAGAAAGCCCUAUGGGUUGUAAACUGCUUUUAUUCACGAGGAAUAAAUCUCUUGCGAGGGAUUUUGACGUUAGUGUUUGAAUAAGCACCGGCUAACUCCGUGCCAGCCGCCGCCGUAACAC
This 487-nucleotide ribosomal RNA is filed under the name uncultured bacterium. RNAcentral describes it as "bacterial SSU rRNA". It matches the Rfam family "Bacterial small subunit ribosomal RNA", at positions 28 to 526 of the family's 1533-position model. The record is from RNAcentral.